This 439-nucleotide ribosomal RNA is filed under the name uncultured bacterium. Its description in RNAcentral is "partial 16S ribosomal RNA". It matches the Rfam family "Bacterial small subunit ribosomal RNA", at positions 339 to 795 of the family's 1533-position model. The record is from RNAcentral.
CUACGGGAGGCACCAGUGGGGAAUUUUGCGCAAUGGGGGAAACCCUGACGCAGCAAUACCGCGUGAGUGAAGAAGGCCUUUGGGUCGUAAAGCUCUUUUCUUGGGGAAGAUAGUGACGGUACCCAAGGAAUAAGCACCGGCUAACUCCGUGCCAGCAGCCGCGGUAAUACGGAGGGUGCAAGCGUUGUUCGGAUUUACUGGGCGUAAAGGGCACGUAGGCGGCACAGCAAGUUGAGGGUGAAAUCCCGGGGCUCAACUCCGGAACUGCUCUUAAAACUGCUGAGCUAGAGAUAGUCAGAGGCGGGUGGAAUUCCAGGUGUAGAGGUGAAAUUCGUAGAUAUCUGGAGGAACACCGGUGGCGAAGGCGGCCCGCUGGGGCUAUUCUGACGCUAAGGUGCGAAAGCGUGGGGAGCAAACGGGAUUAGAUACCCGUGUAGUC